Molecule: long non-coding RNA, 720 nt
Filed under: Equus caballus (horse)
Lineage: Eukaryota; Metazoa; Chordata; Mammalia; Perissodactyla; Equidae
Description: lncRNA (ENSECAG00000050641.1)
Source: RNAcentral
UCUCAAGACCACUAUGCUGCUAAAAGAAAUAUUUAUUGCUGUAAAUUAUAUGGUAAUCUAAAUGAAUACUUAGUAAACUAUUUCUAAAUAAAAUAUAAUAAAAAAUAAGGAUAUAAUAACUUCGCUUUCAGAUAUUUCUUUUGAAAAUUCAUCUGUCAAUCUUAUUGCUCAUUUGAAGGAUACUAGCAUGAAGAUUUGUGACCUAUCCUGGGCUUUGAUCAGGAAUAAGAGACAAAAAGGCAGAGAAUACUGAAGACAUGAGAGUCAUAGCAACAACCUUGGCGAUACGGCAACAUUAUAUCCGUCAAGUCUGCCAGCACUGUUACCAUUCCAGCAGGGACACUAAGUGUCUAGUGUCCUUAAUUUGGGGGCAGCUGAAUCUAGUGCUCCGAGGUCUAAGCAGUGGUGGUUCCCUAGGCUGAUCCCAUGACAUAUUUUCCUUGUGGUUCUGAAGCUGAGAAGACUUUAAACUACUCUCAACAUUUGCAGCAGUUUGGUGAGACCUCUAGUAAACUCACAAAUGCUGCCCAUUGGAGAGGGAGCGAACGACAUUUCAAUGCUAUUUUAAUUUUAAUUUAAUUGAAAAUUGAAAUGUGCUAACAUCAUCUCUAGUUUAUAACUGAGGAAACGCACGUGUAAAAAUAUAAAGUGAUUGUCCCACAUACUAUAGUGAAUGAGAGUGGAGCUGUGAUUUCAACCCAAGAGCCUGACUGCAGAGCG